AGCGGAAUUGUGUAGUGGUAGCACAGCAGACUCUGACUCUGUAUGCCUGGGUUCGAAUCCUAGUUCCGCUGCCA
RNAcentral lists this transfer RNA (74 nucleotides) under Clostridia bacterium. RNAcentral describes it as "tRNA-Gln". It matches the Rfam family "tRNA". From Rfam's summary of the family: Transfer RNA (tRNA) molecules are approximately 80 nucleotides in length. Their secondary structure includes four short double-helical elements and three loops (D, anti-codon, and T loops). The record is from RNAcentral. Lineage: Bacteria; Bacillati; Bacillota; Clostridia.